RNAcentral lists this ribosomal RNA (599 nucleotides) under bacterium enrichment culture clone F61x_D95_T3_G12. RNAcentral's name for it is "bacterial SSU rRNA". It matches the Rfam family "Bacterial small subunit ribosomal RNA", at positions 1 to 595 of the family's 1533-position model. The record is from RNAcentral.
UCNNCUUAGAGUUUGAUCCUGGCUCAGAUUGAACGCUGGCGGCAUGCCUUACACAUGCAAGUCGAACGGCAGCACGGGGGCAACCCUGGUGGCGAGUGGCGAACGGGUGAGUAACAUAUCGGAACGUGCCCUGGAGUGGGGGAUAACUAGUCGAAAGAUUAGCUAAUACCGCAUACGAUCUACGGAUGAAAGUGGGGGAUCGCAAGACCUCAUGCUCGUGGAGCGGCCGAUAUCUGAUUAGCUAGUUGGUGGGGUAAAGGCCUACCAAGGCAUCGAUCAGUAGCUGGUCUGAGAGGACGACCAGCCACACUGGGACUGAGACACGGCCCAGACUCCUACGGGAGGCAGCAGUGGGGAAUUUUGGACAAUGGGCGCAAGCCUGAUCCAGCAAUGCCGCGUGAGUGAAGAAGGCCUUCGGGUUGUAAAGCUCUUUUGUCAGGGAAGAAACGGUGGAGGUUAAUACCUUCUGCUAAUGACGGUACCUGAAGAAUAAGCACCGGCUAACUACGUGCCAGCAGCCGCGGUAAUACGUAGGGUGCAAGCGUUAAUCGGAAUUACUGGGCGUAAAGCGUGCGCAGGCGGUUGUGCAAGACAGAUGU